AGUGCAGCUCUCAGUCCUCAGCAGAGAAGUUUCUCUGUGGAUCUCAGUGAUUGACGCAGAAGCUCGCAACUGGUGAACGUGAAGGGAAAGGCCUGAUGCGGUCAGUCUGCUUUGUCCACUGCUGGAUCUCUGGGCACCGCUUUGUCCAUUUGCCUCAAUAAGCACUUUUUGAGCAAAUCCAGAUCUGCUGCUGAACUGUCUGAAACCGGCUCCUGAGGCAGACUACUCUUUCCCCUGAGCAUCACUGGCUUUCUCUUGCUAAAAUAUGUAUCCAGAUUAAAAACGUGGCAGUUAUCAUUGCCUCUGGCUGCAG
Molecule: non-coding RNA, 313 nt
Organism: Myodes glareolus (Bank vole)
Lineage: Eukaryota; Metazoa; Chordata; Mammalia; Rodentia; Cricetidae
Source: RefSeq, a predicted model, not a curated record